Molecule: ribosomal RNA, 953 nt
Filed under: Salmonella enterica subsp. enterica serovar Dublin
Lineage: Bacteria; Pseudomonadati; Pseudomonadota; Gammaproteobacteria; Enterobacterales; Enterobacteriaceae
Description: partial 23S ribosomal RNA
Rfam family: Bacterial large subunit ribosomal RNA
Source: RNAcentral
CAUCUAAGUACCCCGAGGAAAAGAAAUCAACCGAGAUUCCCCCAGUAGCGGCGAGCGAACGGGGAGGAGCCCAGAGCCUGAAUCAGCAUGUGUGUUAGUGGAAGCGUCUGGAAAGGCGCGCGAUACAGGGUGACAGCCCCGUACACAAAAGCGCAUGUGCUGUGAGCUCGAUGAGUAGGGCGGGACACGUGGUAUCCUGUCUGAAUAUGGGGGGACCAUCCUCCAAGGCUAAAUACUCCUGACUGACCGAUAGUGAACCAGUACCGUGAGGGAAAGGCGAAAAGAACCCCGGCGAGGGGAGUGAAAAAGAACCUGAAACCGUGUACGUACAAGCAGUGGGAGCACAGGUUUACCUGUGUGACUGCGUACCUUUUGUAUAAUGGGUCAGCGACUUAUAUUCUGUAGCAAGGUUAACCGAAUAGGGGAGCCGGAGGGAAACCGAGUCUUAAUUGGGCGUUAAGUUGCAGGGUAUAGACCCGAAACCCGGUGAUCUAGCCAUGGGCAGGUUGAAGGUUGGGUAACACUAACUGGAGGACCGAACCGACUAAUGUUGAAAAAUUAGCGGAUGACCUGUGGCUGGGGGUGAAAGGCCAAUCAAACCGGGAGAUAGCUGGUUCUCCCCGAAAGCUAUUUAGGUAGCGCCUCGUGAAUUCAUCUCCGGGGGUAGAGCACUGUUUCGGCUAGGGGGCCAUCCCGGCUUACCAACCCGAUGCAAACUGCGAAUACCGGAGAAUGUUAUCACGGGAGACACACGGCGGGUGCUAACGUCCGUCGUGAAGAGGGAAACAACCCAGACCGCCAGCUAAGGUCCCAAAGUCAUGGUUAAGUGGGAAACGAUGUGGGAAGGCCCAGACAGCCAGGAUGUUGGCUUAGAAGCAGCCAUCAUUUAAAGAAAGCGUAAUAGCUCACUGGUCGAGUCGGCCUGCGCGGAAGAUGUAACGGGGCUAAACCAU